GGGAACGUAAUGGGUUCGACGGGGAUUAUAAGUUUAGGUAAGCGAGUAGUGUAGGCGAAUCACUUAAAAAACGCGCUUUAAAAAUUAAAUGGAGACGAUCCAAAAAACAAAAAAGUAAUCAAUGUAGAUUUCCGUAAGGUAAGGGCACAAAAAGCCGCUUAAUCUUAUUGAUUAUGAGCCUAACAAUUAGGCGACGUCCUUUUUUGGAGCACCACGGCCGGAUUAGGGCGACAAAUAGUGGUGAACGUGAUUCGGAAAGUGUCUCGCAUCCGGACAUGAACCAGAGACUACCUGAAAUUAAUGUUUUUCAAUGUACUUAUUUUUAGGGAAUUUAUUACAUUGAAUACACUCGUAGAAAGCUUAAGCAAAUAAUUUUCGGACAGGGGUUCGAUUCCCCUCGUUUCCACCA
RNAcentral lists this transfer-messenger RNA (409 nucleotides) under Oscillospiraceae bacterium. It matches the Rfam family "transfer-messenger RNA". From Rfam's summary of the family: Bacterial tmRNA, also known as 10Sa RNA or SsrA, is named for its dual tRNA and mRNA-like properties. Its role is to liberate the mRNA from a stalled ribosome. Lineage: Bacteria; Bacillati; Bacillota; Clostridia; Eubacteriales; Oscillospiraceae. The record is from RNAcentral.